GUUAUUGUCUUUUAUAUUAUUUCAUAACAGUAACAAAGUAAUCUGCCUUAUUUUUCGGUGACACUAAUCUUACUUUUUAUGCACAAUUCUCGUUAUCUUUUAGGUGACAUUUGCUUUUUAUUUUUAUUAAGCCAUCACCAAGGCUUGUUAGGUUCUAACUUAGGUUUCUUUUGUGACGAUGUGGACUAGUUAAACGAAAGAAGAGUUUAGUAAAUGACAGUAUUUCAAUAUCACCUAGCUGAAAUAUACAUAUGAAAGAAACCAAAACAUGAUAUAGCUAUGUGACAUAACAAGAAUUACCUGAUUUGGUUUCUAAUUUCCUUUAUAGUAAUGGAAGCUGUU
RNAcentral lists this long non-coding RNA (342 nucleotides) under Nicotiana benthamiana. RNAcentral describes it as "long non-coding RNA (NBEN_LNC002215)". The record is from RNAcentral. Lineage: Eukaryota; Viridiplantae; Streptophyta; Magnoliopsida; Solanales; Solanaceae.